Molecule: small nucleolar RNA, 91 nt
Organism: Lagenorhynchus albirostris (white-beaked dolphin)
Lineage: Eukaryota; Metazoa; Chordata; Mammalia; Artiodactyla; Delphinidae
Product: small nucleolar RNA SNORA1
Exons: 1
Source: RefSeq, a predicted model, not a curated record
UGCCUUGUUAAUGUGGCUACAUUGAGAACACAGGUUUUGCUUCCAUCACUGUAAUUUCAUUGCGGUGGUGACAAUGAGACCUGCAACAUUU